RNAcentral lists this ribosomal RNA (205 nucleotides) under Chitinophaga sp. Ak27. RNAcentral describes it as "partial 23S ribosomal RNA". It matches the Rfam family "Bacterial large subunit ribosomal RNA", at positions 1138 to 1341 of the family's 2925-position model. The record is from RNAcentral. Lineage: Bacteria; Pseudomonadati; Bacteroidota; Chitinophagia; Chitinophagales; Chitinophagaceae.
CAGCUCACUGGUCGAGGGUUUGGGCACGGAAAAUAAUCGGGCAUCAAACAUAUAACCGAAGCUUUAGGCCUAGUAUGUAAAUACUAGACGGUAGGGGAGCAUUCUAAACUGCAUCGAAGGUGUGUUGUGAGACAUGCUGGAGCGUUUAGAAAAGAAAAUGUAGGCAUAAGUAACGAUAAAUAAGAUGAAAAAUCUUAUCGCCGUA